Molecule: ribosomal RNA, 478 nt
Filed under: uncultured bacterium
Lineage: Bacteria
Description: partial 16S ribosomal RNA
Rfam family: Bacterial small subunit ribosomal RNA
Source: RNAcentral
GACGAACGCUGGCGGCGUGCUUAACACAUGCAAGUCGAACGGUAAGGCCCUUCGGGGUACACGAGUGGCGAACGGGUGAGUAACACGUGGGUGAUCUGCCCUGCACUUCGGGAUAAGCCUGGGAAACUGGGUCUAAUACCGGAUAGGACUCCUGGCUUCAUGGUUGGGGGUGGAAAGCUUUUGCGGUGUGGGAUGGGCCCGCGGCCUAUCAGCUUGGUGGUGGGGUAAUGGCCUACCAAGGCGACGACGGGUAGCCGGCCUGAGAGGGUGACCGGUCACACUGGGACUGAGAUACGGCCCAGACUCCUACGGGAGGCAGCAGUGGGGAAUAUUGGACAAUGGGGGCAACCCUGAUGCAGCGACGCCGCGUGAGGGAUGACGGCCUUCGGGUUGUAAACCUCUUUCAGCACCGACGAAGCGCAAGUGACGGUAGGUGCAGAAGAAGGACCGGCCAACUACGUGCCAGCAGCCGCGGUAA